AUUGAACGCUGGCGGCAUGCCUUAUACAUGCAAGUCGGACGGAAGCACAGAGAAGUUUGCUUCCUGGGUGGAGAGUGGCGAACGGGAGUGAAACAUAUCGGAACGUACUAUGCAGCGGGGGAUAACUAAUCGAAAGAUUAGUAAAAACCGCAUAUCUUCUGAGGCAGAAAGCAGGGGAGUAAUUGGCGUUGUGCCGUUUGAGUGGCCGUUAUCGGAUUAGCUAGUUGGUGGGGUAAAGGGUUACCAAGGCGACGAUCAGUAGCGGGUCUGAGAGGAUGAUCGGCCACACUGGAACUGAGACACGGCCCAGACUCCUACGGGAGGCAGCAGUAGGGAAUUUUGGGCAAUGGGCGAAAGCCUGACGCAGCCAUGCCGCGUGUGUGAAGAAGGCCUUCGGGUUGUAAAGCACUGUUAUCAGGGAAGAAAAAAUGUGUAUUUAUACCCGUAUCUGAUGACGGUACCUAAACAAUAAGCACCGGCUAACUACGUG
RNAcentral lists this ribosomal RNA (490 nucleotides) under uncultured bacterium. RNAcentral describes it as "partial 16S ribosomal RNA". It matches the Rfam family "Bacterial small subunit ribosomal RNA", at positions 30 to 507 of the family's 1533-position model. The record is from RNAcentral.